RNAcentral lists this ribosomal RNA (492 nucleotides) under uncultured bacterium. RNAcentral's name for it is "partial 16S ribosomal RNA". It matches the Rfam family "Bacterial small subunit ribosomal RNA", at positions 29 to 507 of the family's 1533-position model. The record is from RNAcentral.
AGUGAACGCUGGCGGUAGGCCUAACACAUGCAAGUCGAACGGCAGCACAGUAAGAGCUUGCUCUUACGGGUGGCGAGUGGCGGACGGGUGAGGAAUACAUCGGAAUCUACUUUUUCGUGGGGGAUAACGUAGGGAAACUUACGCUAAUACCGCAUACGACCUACGGGUGAAAGUAGGGGAUCUUCGGACUUUGCGCGAUUGAAUGAGCCGAUGUCGGAUUAGCUAGUUGGCGGGGUAAAGGCCCACCAAGGCGACGAUCCGUAGCUGGUCUGAGAGGAUGAUCAGCCACACUGGAACUGAGACACGGUCCAGACUCCUACGGGAGGCAGCAGUGGGGAAUAUUGGACAAUGGGCGCAAGCCUGAUCCAGCCAUACCGCGUGGGUGAAGAAGGCCUUCGGGUUGUAAAGCCCUUUUGUUGGGAAAGAAAAGCAGCAGGUUAAUACCCCGCUGUUCUGACGGUACCCAAAGAAUAAGCACCGGCUAACUUCGUG